GGAGGGGAAGGUCAGGGCCCACAUGGGUGUCCAGGGGACAAUCGAGAGCCAUGUGUUAGACGUGCUCCAUCUGAAGCGCCUACGGGCUAUGUAGCAGAGACGAGAUGCACUGGAACACUUUACUGAACGUUUCCCCCGAGGUACCCUCAUUCCAAAAGUCUAAGGGAUGAAUCCAAACUAUUCAGGUAUCACCCCUCAUUUCUUCAUAGGUGCUUAUAUGAUCUGUUCUCUUUUUUUAAUCUAAAAACUGGACAAGCAGGUGUCGGAGGUUGGAGAUGGGGGAGGAGCCUCUCUUUAAAAUUGCUUUGGGGCAGGGCUGUCUGCCUGUAACAUUGAUGCCAGGUUCACUCUGGGUCGGGAAAGUUUCUGGAAUCAUCUUUUGAAUUAUUCAUGGCUGCAUUGCUGGUAAGGGCUUGAAAGUUACACCUGCAUUGCAACGUGGCCCUGCUCGAUUCCUAAUUACGUGAUCUCGGGCCAGACAUGUGAUCUCUGUAGGUCUCAGUUCUCUUAUUUGUGGACUUGGUACAAGAACCCUGCCCUGGGUUGCGGUGAGAUUACACAAGACGGUGAGUGCAUCCUGCGGCCAGCAGCUGGGGUGAUUACCAUCACAAUCAUUUGCGUUGUCACCACGGCCACCACAUUAUCCCCGCCACCUGCAAGUGAACCUUUGUGGUCGUUCUUCCAGGCUCAUGGUUUCUGCAAUGUCAUCUUCAUGCUUGAUGCUGUGAAGUAUCUAUCACAAUUACAAGCUUAGUAUCGGAAUCCACUAACCUGUCUCGCCUUUACAGGCACUCUCUCUCUCUUUUUAAAAUAGGUGGUGGAAAUCCAGAUGUGCUGGAGUGAUGGCUUUUGCCUGGUGCUCCAGCCCCAGCACGCAGGCUCCUCUUUGGGUCCCUCCCACUAUUCUUCCCACCCGGGGGCAGUUAGCGGUAACCAGACUGGGGCUGGUCUUUUCUCCAAAUAUCCCCUUUAUUUUUGGCGGGAUCCUUGCUGGACUUUGCUAGUUGUCCUUUAUUUGGGUAUUACUCUCGCUUUGUCUGAGUAUUUCCCCCAAGGAAAGCUAUCCCUUUGGCCAUCUUCCUGGAAGUUGAUUUCUUCCUUAAAUGCUAGAAAAGAGGCACGUUCCAAAAGCGCCCUGAUUAUUGACGUCACAGACAGGUCCUCUGUCCUUGACGGUGUGCACAUUUGGAAGAAAGGGAGUCCAAAGCCACGAGGUCUGUCCUCCUGCCAGAGAGGCAGACAAUGAGGGGCCAUUGUCUGGGGAUUUACGAGGACUUUCCUUCAGCAGCAAAUUCCUCGGCCACCAAGGGCAGCCUUAUAAGGAAAGUAUGUGCUGGAACAAUGGAGGUGUUUGGAAAUGAGUCAUGUCAUUUCCAGGAAUGGCAUUAACAGACCAAAAAUAUUAAUUCUCCCACCGGAGUUUAUCAGUGGGAUGUGAUGGCCACGGGCUCUGCCAGCGCUGUGUACUUUGGCGGGUUGAGAGCCUCGUCCAUCUGCUUCCCGGUCAGCACAGAGGGGGAAGCACGCAGGUGAACCCUUCGUCCUGCUCUCACGACAGGCAUGGCCCAUGUCUCCAGGGUGGCAUCCGCCUGCUCAAGGAACUCCCAGUGCAGCGGCAAAGAGGACGCAGGGGAAACGGCGCAGGACAGUAGCAGCAGCAGCACACGUGAGCGGAAGCUACAGCAAAGUGGAGCCAGGCUCUGUGGGAGUUCCCAUCAUAAAAUGCUCAUUAUGGAAAUUUGGGAAAGAAAAAAAGAAGACACCACUUCAGGUCCCAUCACCAGAGAAAACCGUGGCUUUACCAUAUGUUCUUGAGAACUUUCACGUUGUAGUUCAAGAAAAAAAAAGGUCGUUCUCAUAUGCCGUGUAUCCAAUCUUAUUUCCUUUGCAACAGAAUCAUUGCACAGAACACUUCACCAUGACUCACACAUGUACGAACGAAUGUCAUUAACUCUUGAUGAGCAUAGAUUUUUAUCGCUUUACCAUCAUUAUCAUUAACAGAAUUUGCCACAGUCCACCUAAGAACCUCCCUGUUGGACAUCUGGGUGGUUUGUAUUUUUCACGAUUACAAAUAAUGCUAUCCUAUAAUGAACAUUUUGGGGCAUAAAGGUUUUUUUCCAUGUUUUGAAUUCGUUCCUUUGGAUAAACUCCUAGAUGUAGAAUAUUGGAAUAAGGAUACGAAUGCCUCUAAGACUCUUGACAUAUAUUACCUGGCUGACCUUACACCAAGACAGUGCUUUUAGUUAAAUAAGAUAGACUCAAAUACUGAAACAUUUGUGUUUUGUUGGCGAGUUUUAAGAAGGAAUUUGUUCUUCUACUUUGAAGAGCUGUGCAAAGAAUGGUCCUUUCAAGCUUGAAAUGAGAACCCCAGACCCCCCAUGAGCCGAAAGCUUUGGUUUGUUGAUGGUUCAGAGAUCUAAGUUCGGCUUUGCUGUGAGGAAAGAGAAGC
Equus asinus (donkey) is the source of this 2449-nucleotide long non-coding RNA. NCBI's taxonomy places the organism in Eukaryota, Metazoa, Chordata, Mammalia, Perissodactyla, Equidae. The record is from Ensembl.